CGGGCCGUGGCGCAGCUUGGUAGCGCGCCUGCUUUGGGAGCAGGAGGUCGCCGGUUCGAGUCCGGCCGGCCCGA
This 74-nucleotide transfer RNA is filed under the name Acidimicrobiia bacterium. Its description in RNAcentral is "tRNA-Pro". It matches the Rfam family "tRNA". From Rfam's summary of the family: Transfer RNA (tRNA) molecules are approximately 80 nucleotides in length. Their secondary structure includes four short double-helical elements and three loops (D, anti-codon, and T loops). Further hydrogen bonds mediate the characteristic L-shaped molecular structure. tRNAs have two regions of fundamental functional importance: the anti-codon, which is responsible for specific mRNA codon recognition, and the 3' end, to which the tRNAs corresponding amino acid is attached (by aminoacyl-tRNA synthetases). tRNAs cope with the degeneracy of the genetic code in two manners: having more than one tRNA (with a specific anti-codon) for a particular amino acid; and 'wobble' base-pairing, i.e. permitting non-standard base-pairing at the 3rd anti-codon position. The record is from RNAcentral. Lineage: Bacteria; Bacillati; Actinomycetota; Acidimicrobiia.